UCCUGUGUUCAGGCGAUUCUCCCGCCUCGGCCUCCCAAGUAGCUGGGACUACAAGCACGUGCCAACACACCCGGCUAAUUUUUGUAUUUUUAGUAGAGACGGGGUUUCACUAUGUUGGCCAAGCUGCUCUCGAACUCCUGACCUCGUGAUCUGCCCGCCUCGGCCUCCCAAAGUGCUGGGAUUACAGGCGUGAGCCACUGUGCCCGGCCUUGUUUUUGUUUGUGAGAUAGAGUUUUGCUCUGUCGCCCAGGCUGGAGUCCAGUGGCGUGGUCUCAGCUCACUCCGACCUCCACCUCCCAGGUUCAAGUGAUUCUCCUGCCUCAGCCUCUUGAGUAGCUGGAAUUACAGGCACUGCCACUAUGCCUGGCUAAUUAUUAUUUUUUGUAUUUUUAGCAGAGACGGGGUUUCACCAGGUUGGCUAGGCUGGUCUCGAUUCCUGACCUCAAGUGAUCUUCCUGCCUCAGCUUCCCAAAGUGCUGGGAUUACAGGCAUGAGCCGCCGCGCCUGGCCAUUGAGUCUUGAAUAGUUAAAACUUCCAAGAGGAGGAGACUGCCAGGGUGGUAAGGAGGCCCAUGUGCACGCGGAGCAGCAGAAGCAGCCGAAGCAGCUGAACUCCCCCCACAGGUCCUGGGGGCGGGCUGUGAGCGUCCCGGCACUGCAGGUGCCCGCAGAUGCAGGCGGGGCACAGGAUGAGCCAUUGGAGACUUCCCUCUUGCUUGAGAGAUGGGUUCUAGAAUGCUGUUUUAAAAUAACUCUUAGAGGUGGGUUAAGUGGGUGGAAUAUAGAUAGAGCAGGAAACUGCAGAAGGCACUGGCUGGGGGAAAGAGUCCCCUCAGAGAUGAGGAUGAGUUGAGUUUUUUCUCUGUUCAGUGACCGCGCCCCCUGCCCCCGCUCCAGCGAAGCCCCCUGUUUAUCAACCCACUUGGUCAGAAGACAUUUCACCACAGCCAGAAACCAGGGUCAGCUACUUCAUGUCCAUCGCACGCACCACCACCACGUGCAUGGUCUGCACCUGACCCAAGCUGAAUGAUGGACAUCACCUGUGUAAGCAUCUUGAUGAAGGGAAAAGCUCACUGGGUGCCAGUCCCAUCCCUUCCGUCCUCUGGGCCUCAGUCUUCUCUGUCAAACAGGCAAGACUCAAAAGGCUCCUGGAGACCCAACAGGCCAGGCUAUAAAGCAAGACAUGACCCCAGAGCAGCCACCUAUCUCAUCCUUGGGCCAGCCGGGGCAGGGGCAGCUGGGGGGACCUCAGUGACACUUUUGACUGCAAGCCACUGAAAAUGUCUUGUACUUGCUAUGUAUCUCCUGCUUGCUUCCUAUCAUUUUUUUUUUAAAAAACACUAAUUGUGCACUAAGUGCCUUUGCCAGGCACUAUUCUAGGUACUUGGAAUAGAGGAAAAGAAAAAGGAUGAAGAUCGCUGCCGCAUGGGGCUCACAUUCUAGUAAGUGUGGGGAGAGUAGCCACAAAGGGCAACACAACUGUGUAACUCAUGCUGACGUUGGUGUGACAGGGGCAGAUGGUGAAAGGGCAGAGUUGGGCACAGAGGCCCGAGUGCGCUUUUUGGUGUCACAGCCAGGGCAGGCCUCUUAGAGGAGGAGGGAGGCAGAGAGCCUUCAGUUGGUCUAAGCUCUUACCCCAAGCUCAUUGCUUUUACCUGUUCUCUAGGAAUAUCUGCAAAAGCUCUGGCCCAGGGAGGUGGCAGUACAGGCCUGUAAACUCCUAAUAGAAGGUCCAGAGUCCAGAACUCUCCAUCUUAGAAAUGGGAACAAUUUCCUUACCAAGUCUCCACUCGAUAGGCAAUGUCCUCUCCUGAGGGCCAGGGAGCACGCCAUUCAAGGACUUGACUGCACUGGCUAAGCCAGGAGAGGGAGGAAGAGAAGAGGGUUAGUGUGUGAUUUUUUUUUUUUUUUUCGGAGACAGGGUCUGGCUCUGCCAUCCAGGCUGGAGUGCAGUGGUGCAAUCUUGGCUCACUGCAACCUCUGCCUCCUGGGUUCAAGCUAUUCUCGUGUCUUAGCCUCCCAAGUAGCUGGGACUCCAGGUGCAUGCCACCACGCCCAGCUAAUUUUUGUAUUUUUAGUAGAGAUGGGGUUUUGCCAUGUUGGCCAGGCUGGUCUUGAAAUCCUGACCUCAAGUGAUCCAUCCACUUCAGCCUCCCAAAAUGCUGGGAUUAUUGGUGUGAGCCACUGUGCCUGGCCUUUAAUGGAACUUUUCAAGGAACCAUUCAAAAAUAGUUGUUGGGGCUGGGUGAGGUGGCUCACGCCUGUAGUCCCAGUACUUUGGGAGGCUGAGGUAGGAGGAUUGCCUGAGCCCAGGAAUUCAAACCAGCCUAGGCAACAGAACAAGACCCUGUCUGUACGAAAAAUAAAAUUAGCUGGGCACAAGCCUGUGGUCCCAGCUACUCAGGAGGUUGAGGUGGGAGGAUCACUUGAGCCCAGGAGGUCAAGGCUGCACUGAGCUGUGAUUGCGCCACUGUACUUCAGUCUGGGUGACAGAACGAAACCCUGUCUCAAAAACAAAACGAAACAAAACAAACCCAAGACAAACAAAACAAACAAAAAUAGCUGUUGAACUGUUUCCUUUCUCCUCGACUGGCAAUGACACUGAGUUCCUUCCACUCAUGGAGGAGUCACUCCGGGACUCCCCGUGCACUGUCAGAACACCUCUAAGGCACCAUCUUCACUUCACUCCCUUGAAGAGCAACAAUCUCUCCCGUCUAAAGGGCCCCUGAGCUGCGUGGCAAACCAGCAAUGAAAGAAACAAAAAACCUGCAACAGAGUCGUAAGGUUUCAACUCUUGAGCACAAGCUCUUUCUCAUUUUGAUGCCCCUCUGAGACGGACUGGAAGGGACAGUGCGUGGGAAACACCCCUCUUCUGCCCCUGCUCUGCCUGGUGCCACACCCAUGGAAGGGGCAACUGCUCUGCAGACCUGAAGGUCAGCACGAAGGUCGCUUACUGGGUAGGGGCUGCCUGACGCAGCUUCCAUAGUGACUAUAAUUUAUUCACAGGCCCAUGUAUGGAGGUUUUUCUUCUAAAUAUCAUUAUUCUAAGCAUCAUCAUGGGCACAGUGGCUCACGCCUGUAAUUCCAGUACUUUGGGAGGUCGAGGCGGGAGGAUCACGAGGUCAGGUGAUCAAGACCAUCCUGGCUAACACGGCAAAACCCCGUCUCUACUAAAAAAUAGAAAAAAUUAGCCAGGCGUGGUGGCAGGUGCCUGUAGUCCCAACUACUCGGGAGGCUGAGGCAGGAGAAUGGUGUGAAGCCGGGAGACGGAGCUUGUAGUGAGCCGAGAUCGCGCCACUGCACUCCAGCCUGAGCCACAGCGUGAGACUCUGUCUUAAAAAAAUAAAAAAAUAAAAUAAAAUAAAAUAGAAAUCAUUAUUGUCUAGGCUUUUGGAGAAGCAUAUGCUGUGAAAAUGAUCACGGCUGUGCUCCUAAAAGCCAGUCAUGUUUCUGUAACAGUUUUCUGCAUGGACCCUCACUUUCAGAAAUGCAAAGGUGGCCUGAGAGCUGGGCACCUCACUUACUUGUAGGAGUAUGGUUUUGGUUCCUCUAAUGUGCCUGAUGUAGAAGAGAGGGAAGUCGGCACUCAACGAAGAGGAACACCAUUGUCAGGAUUAGGAGAAUGCUCUGCUUGGCAGGUAAAUCAAACCAGCAGCACAGCCCCACUAGGUGUCUCACCUCACUUCUGAGAGAUUUCCAGGUGGUUGAUGAGGGAAAAAUGCAGUCUCUUUUGAUUUUCAAUGGUCGUAGAAUAUCCCUUUUCAAAAUUCAUUGUAUGCAGAAUAAAAAUGUCACAUUCUGAGAAUGGAGAAUCUAUAGAAAGGGCCUGGAACCUUAGUAAUGAAUGAGUUUUCACAUUUUAACCUUCGUAAAGGGAAUACUACCCAUGUUGCCAUGAAAAUCAAGCCAAGAUCAAUUAGUAACAUAGUCUUAUAAACAUAACGCACUUGGGUAACUUUCUGUGGAUGAAUACUAGUCUCUGAGACACGCACUCCUUAUUUGACCAAGUAACACAUUAAAACGCAGCCACUGCUUAUGACAAGUGAGCCCCUCAAGAAAAUACGAGCAUAAAGAGUGGCCACUGCAUCAGGGCAUUCCAGAAACUCAUUUUUCUUAAAGGAAUUUAACUUCUAGUACUCAAUGUGUCCUUGAGAAUGCAAAAAUGGAAAACAAUUCAAAAUCAGUCCCAGCUACAAAGAUAAGGAAGAGGAAGUCCGCUGUGGCCCAGCCUCUGCUUGGCAGGGCUCUGCUCCACCUCUGCAGAAAUUAUGCACAGGAACCUGCUGUGAUGGGUGUUUCUGGGGUAGGAAUCUUUUUUUUUUUUUGAGAUGAAGUCUUGCUCUGUUGCCCAGGUUUGAGCAUAAUGGCAAGAUCUCGGUUCACUGCAACCUUCGCCUCCUGGGUUCAAGCGAUUCUCCUGUCUCCGCCUCCCGAGUAGCUGGGAUUACAGGUGUGCGCCACAUGCCUGGCUAAUUUUUUUUUAUAUUUUUGUAGAGACGGGGUUUCACCAUGUUGGCCAGGCUGGUCUCGAACUCCUGAACUCAGGUGAUCCACCCGCCUCGGCCUCCCAAAUUGUUGGGAUUACAGACAUGAGCCCCUGCGCCUGGCCUUGGGGUAGGAAUCUUAAGGAAGUCAGUUUCGUAGUCAUGAAUUUCAUAGAACAGCUCAGAAACAUCUACCCAGAGGAGGAAGUAAUUUAUGGCAGAACAUCUCCUUGGUUUUCUGCUCAGCAGAAGGGACAGUGACAGACAAGGACAGCAAAGGGGGAGAGAAGUCUGUGUGUAGAUCUCCUUAAAGAGGCUCAUGUGUGCCGGGCGCAGUGGCUCACGCCUGUAAUCC
RNAcentral lists this long non-coding RNA (4839 nucleotides) under Homo sapiens (human). Its description in RNAcentral is "HSALNT0216478". The record is from RNAcentral. Lineage: Eukaryota; Metazoa; Chordata; Mammalia; Primates; Hominidae.